RNAcentral lists this unclassified non-coding RNA (239 nucleotides) under Hevea brasiliensis (rubber tree). Lineage: Eukaryota; Viridiplantae; Streptophyta; Magnoliopsida; Malpighiales; Euphorbiaceae. The record is from RNAcentral.
CGAAGCGAAAGAGCGACAGAAAAGAGAAAUUUAAAAAAGGACACGAAAGACUGCUGCUAUCACUUCACUCUCCUUUUGUGUAGGCUCAGUCUCUCUCUAGCCGCAGACAACUUAACGGUUCGCCGAGCCAUAUCGGCGACGCCGAUUUAACCGUACGCCGGAGAUCUUCGCGAAUCGUUGGCUGUUUCUGGAUCUCUGGACCUUUUCUCCCCCUGUUCAGUGCCCUGGAUUAACUCUCA